GGUCACACCACCCUGAAGGUGCCCGGUCUCUUCUGAUCUCAGAAGCUAAGCCUGGUUAGUACUUGGAUGGGAGGCCACCUGAGAAUACCAGGUGUGGUAGCCU
Molecule: ribosomal RNA, 103 nt
Filed under: Carlito syrichta (Philippine tarsier)
Lineage: Eukaryota; Metazoa; Chordata; Mammalia; Primates; Tarsiidae
Source: RNAcentral